GCAUGACAUUGUGAAUUUGAACAGUGGAAUUUUUUGUUGAGCGAUGCCAUCUACUCUUGGUGAAUCUUCUGAUGUUUUAUUAGAGGACAUUUUUAUUCCCCACCUACAAUAGUAGAGGGGCAUUAUGUUUUCUGGUCUGUGUGUCCAUUCGUUCAUCCUUCUGUCCCACUUCAGGUUAAAGUUUUUGGUCAAGGUAGUUUUUGAUGAAGUUGAAGUCCAAUUAACUUGAAACUUAGUACACAUGUUCCUUAUGAUAUAAUCUUUCUAAAUUUAAAAUUAGAGUGUUUACCCCAAUUUCAUGGUCCACUGAACAUAGAAAAUAAUAGUGCAGGUGGGGCAUCUGUAUACUGGGGACACAUUCUUGUUAUAGCUGUUAAAUAACAAGGUGACAUUCUAAACCCGCCAGGAGUUCAUUAAUUUAGAAAAUGAUUUUCAAGAGUCUUCUUUUAAUUCAGCAUCACUGUUGUUGUGCAACCAUUCACUGGUGUUAAUUAGCCUUUUAAUAAUUGGUAUUACAUGUAGUAUUGGUUUCAUGUCUACAUUGAUGGGUAGAUUAUACCAGGAGAAUAUGGUUAAGAUUGAAAGUGAGACGCAUUGCAUUUUUGUAUUUUAAAAAAUGAAAUCAAAGUAGAAAUUUUCCAACUGGUUACAUGAAUGAUUUGAUUCUGAAACAUUUCAAAGGAAAAUUUGGCAUAAAAUGUUUUUAAAAACACAAAACAUACUUAAUUUCAUAUCAGGCUUAUCCAAAAUCUUUCUGAUUCUUUUAAGCAGUAGUUCUUUGCAGAUGUUUAUAUUAGCUUUGUGACUAUUAGAAAUUGUUACAGUAGAUUUGAGCAUGGAAGAGCAUUGGUGAAGUGGGGGCA
RNAcentral lists this long non-coding RNA (863 nucleotides) under Mytilus galloprovincialis (Mediterranean mussel). The record is from RNAcentral. Lineage: Eukaryota; Metazoa; Mollusca; Bivalvia; Mytilida; Mytilidae.